Molecule: ribosomal RNA, 428 nt
Filed under: uncultured bacterium
Lineage: Bacteria
Description: partial 16S ribosomal RNA
Rfam family: Bacterial small subunit ribosomal RNA
Source: RNAcentral
GUAGGGAAUAUUGCGCAAUGGACGAAAGUCUGACGCAGCGACGCCGCGUGAGUGAUGAAGGCCUUAGGGUCGUAAAGCUCUGUUGAAUGGGAAGAAAAAAAUGACGGUACCAUUCGAGGAAGGACCGGCUAACUUCGUGCCAGCAGCCGCGGUAAUACGAGGGGUCCUAGUGUUGUUCGGAAUCAUUGGGCGUAAAGGGUGUGUAGGUGGCCAUGUAAGUCAGGUGUGAAAGCCCCGGGCUCAACCCGGGAAGUGCACUUGAUACUGCGUGGCUUGAGUACCGAAGAGGGUAGUGGAAUUCCAGGUGUAGUGGUGAAAUACGUAGAUAUCUGGAGGAACACCGGUGGCGAAGGCGGCUACCUGGUCGAGUACUGACACCGAGACACGAAAGCAUGGGGAUCAAACAGGAUUAGAAACCCGUGUAGUCC